RNAcentral lists this ribosomal RNA (253 nucleotides) under uncultured bacterium. RNAcentral's name for it is "partial 16S ribosomal RNA". It matches the Rfam family "Bacterial small subunit ribosomal RNA", at positions 524 to 776 of the family's 1533-position model. The record is from RNAcentral.
UACGUAGGUGGCUAGCGUUGUCCGGAUUUACUGGGCGUAAAGCGCGCGCAGGCGGUCGUUCAAGUCGAGUGUGAAAGCCCCCGGCUCAACUGGGGAGGGUCACUCGAUACUGAUCGACUUGAAGGCAGAAGAGGGAAGCGGAAUUCCCGGUGUAGUGGUGAAAUUCGUAGAUAUCGAGAGGAACACCUGUGGCGAAGGCGGCCAACUGGACGAGUACUGACGCUGAGACACGAAAGCGUGGGGAGCAAACAGG